AACGAACGCUGGCGGCAUGCCUAACACAUGCAAGUCGAACGAGACCUUCGGGUCUAGUGGCGCACGGGUGCGUAACGCGUGGGAACCUGCCUUUAGGUUCGGAAUAACUCAGAGAAAUUUGAGCUAAUACCGGAUAAUGUCUUCGGACCAAAGAUUUAUCGCCUUUAGAUGGGCCCGCGUUGGAUUAGCUAGUUGGUGGGGUAAAGGCCUACCAAGGCGACGAUCCAUAGCUGGUCUGAGAGGAUGAUCAGCCACACUGGGACUGAGACACGGCCCAGACUCCUACGGGAGGCAGCAGUGGGGAAUAUUGGACAAUCGGCGAAAGCCUGAUCCAGCAAUGCCGCGUGAGUGAUGAAGGCCCUAGGGUUGUAAAGCUCUUUUACCAGGGAUGAUAAUGACAGUACCUGGAGAAUAAGCUCCGGCUAAACUCCGUGCCAGCAGCCGCGGUAAU
RNAcentral lists this ribosomal RNA (451 nucleotides) under uncultured bacterium. Its description in RNAcentral is "bacterial SSU rRNA". It matches the Rfam family "Bacterial small subunit ribosomal RNA", at positions 29 to 524 of the family's 1533-position model. The record is from RNAcentral.